GGUUAAGCGAAUAAGCGUACACGGUGGAUGCCUAGGCAAUCAGAGGCGAUGAAGGACGUGCUAAUCUGCGAAAAGCGUCGGUAAGGUGAUAUGAACCGUUAUACCCGACGAUAUCCGAAUGGGGAAACCCAGUAUCCAAUGGAUACUAUCAUUAACUGAAUCCAUAGGUUAAUGAGGCGAACCGGGAGAACUGAAACAUCUCAGUACCCCGAGGAAAAGAAAUCAACCGAGAUUCCCUAGUAGCGGCGAGCGAACGGGGAGCAGCCCAGAGUCUUAAUCAAUAGCAGUGUCAGGAGAACGGUCUGGAAAGUCCGGCAGUAAAGGGUGAUAGCCCCGUAUCUGAAGAUGCUGUUAUUGUGAACUCGAUGAGUAGGGCGGGACACGUGUUAUCCUGUCUGAAUAUGGGGGGACCAUCCUCCAAGGCUAAAUACUCCUGAUUGACCGAUAGUGAACCAGUACCGUGAGGGAAAGGCGAAAAGAACCCCGGCGAGGGGAGUGAAAAAGAACCUGAAACCGUGUACGUACAAGCAGUAGGAGCCUCUUUAUGGGGUGACUGCGUACCUUUUGUAUAAUGGGUCAGCGACUUAUAUUCUGUAGCGAGGUUAACCGUAUAGGGGAGCCGUAGGGAAACCGAGUCUUAACUGGGCGAAUGAGUUGCAGGGUAUAGACCCGAAACCCGGUGAUCUAUCCAUGGGCAGGUUGAAGGUUGGGUAACACUAACUGGAGGACCGAACCGACUAAUGUUGAAAAAUUAGCGGAUGACUUGUGGAUGGGGGUGAAAGGCCAAUCAAACCGGGAGAUAGCUGGUUCUCCCCGAAAGCUAUUUAGGUAGCGCCUCGUGAAUUCAUCUUCGGGGGUAGAGCACUGUUUCGACUAGGGGUCAUCCCGACUUACCAACUCGAUGCAAACUGCGAAUACCGAAGAAUGUUAUCACGGGAGACACACGGCGGGUGCUAACGUCCGUCGUGAAGAGGGAAACAACCCAGACCGCCAGCUAAGGUCCCAAAGUCAUGGUUAAGUGGGAAACGAAGUGGGAAGGCUCAGACAGCCAGGAUGUUGGCUUAGAAGCAGCCAUCAUUUAAAGAAAGCGUAAUAGCUCACUGGUCGAGUCGGCCCGCGCGGAAGAUGUAACGGGGCUAAACCAUGCACCGAAGCUGCGGCAGCGACACAAAGUGUUGUUGGGUAGGGGAGCGUUCUGUAAGCCUGCGAAGGUGUACUGUGAGGUAUGCUGGAGGUAUCAGAAGUGCGAAUGCUGACAUAAGUAACGAUAAUGCGGGUGAAAAACCCGCACGCCGGAAGACCAAGGGUUCCUGUCCAACGUUAAUCGGGGCAGGGUGAGUCGACCCCUAAGGCGAGGCUGAAAAGCGUAGUCGAUGGGAAACGGGUUAAUAUUCCCGUACUGGUGGUAACUGCGAUGGGGGAACGGAGAAGGCUAGGUUGUCCGGGCGACGGUCGUCCCGGUUCAAGCAGGUAGGCAGAGUGAUUAGGCAAAUCCGGUCACUUAAUGCUGAGAUGUGAUGACGAACCACCAAGGUGGUGAAGCAAUUGAUGCCCCGCUUCCAGGAAAAGCCUCUAAGCUUCAGGUUACCAACAAUCGUACCCCAAACCGACACAGGUGGUCAGGUAGAGAAUACUCAGGCGCUUGAGAGAACUCGGGUGAAGGAACUAGGCAAAAUGGUGCCGUAACUUCGGGAGAAGGCACGCUGGCGGUAGGUAAAGUCCCUCGCGGACGGCGCCCAAGCCAGUCGAAGAUACCAGCUGGCUGCAACUGUUUAUUAAAAACACAGCACUGUGCAAACACGAAAGUGGACGUAUACGGUGUGACGCCUGCCCGGUGCUGGAAGGUUAAUUGAUGGGGUUAGCCGUAAGGCGAAGCUCCUGAUCGAAGCCCCAGUAAACGGCGGCCGUAACUAUAACGGUCCUAAGGUAGCGAAAUUCCUUGUCGGGUAAGUUCCGACCUGCACGAAUGGCGUAAUGAUGGCCAGGCUGUCUCCACCCGAGACUCAGUGAAAUUGAACUCGCUGUGAAGAUGCAGUGUACCCGCGGCAAGACGGAAAGACCCCGUGAACCUUUACUAUAGCUUGACACUGAACAUUGAGCCUUGAUGUGUAGGAUAGGUGGGAGGCUUUGAAGUGUGGACGCCAGUCUGCAUGGAGCCAACCUUGAAAUACCACCCUUUAACGUUUGAUGUUCUAACCUAGGCCCAUAAACUGGGUCGGGGACCGUGUCUGGUGGGUAGUUUGACUGGGGCGGUCUCCUCCUAAAGAGUAACGGAGGAGCACGAAGGUUGGCUAAGCAUGGUCGGACAUCAUGCGGUUAGUGCAAAGGCAUAAGCCAGCUUGACUGCGAGAGUGACGGCUCGAGCAGGUACGAAAGUAGGUCUUAGUGAUCCGGUGGUUCUGAAUGGAAGGGCCAUCGCUCAACGGAUAAAAGGUACUCCGGGGAUAACAGGCUGAUACCGCCCAAGAGUUCAUAUCGACGGCGGUGUUUGGCACCUCGAUGUCGGCUCAUCACAUCCUGGGGCUGAAGUAGGUCCCAAGGGUAUGGCUGUUCGCCAUUUAAAGUGGUACGCGAGCUGGGUUUAGAACGUCGUGAGACAGUUCGGUCCCUAUCUGCCGUGGGCGUUGGAAGAUUGAGAGGGGUUGCUCCUAGUACGAGAGGACCGGAGUGAACGCACCACUGGUGUUCGGGUUGUCAUGCCAAUGGCAUUGCCCGGUAGCUAAGUGCGGAAGAGAUAACCGCUGAAAGCAUCUAAGCGGGAAACUUGCCUCGAGAUGAGUCUUCCCUGUCACUUUAAGUGACCUAAAGGAACGUUUAAGACUAAGACGUUGAUAGGCUGGGUGUGUAAGCGUAGCGAUACGUUGAGCUAACCAGUACUAAUGAACCGUGAGGCUUAACCUG
Molecule: ribosomal RNA, 2901 nt
Filed under: Proteus mirabilis
Lineage: Bacteria; Pseudomonadati; Pseudomonadota; Gammaproteobacteria; Enterobacterales; Morganellaceae
Description: 23S ribosomal RNA
Rfam family: Bacterial large subunit ribosomal RNA
Source: RNAcentral